UGCUCUGUCUCAUCCUGCACUUGCCGACUUGAUGUUAUGACAAAAAAGCAAAUGCAGGUUCACAAAAGCAUUGUAUGAAGCAAACAGUGCCUUUGAUUCUGGAGAUUUGCCAGCCCAGCAGUAUCAAAGCUGAGCCUUCCGUGGCCUCUGUUCACGGGGCUGUGAGGUGUCAGGAGCCAGGCUGCGGUGACGGGGCCGGGACUCAGGGUGCCCGGGGUACGUGUACUGACCAGGGCUGUGCCAGCAUGGCACGUCGCGUUUCUGUGCAUUCAGCGCCCACCAAAAGACUGAGUCCUGGGCUUUGCAUGAACACAAGACUGCCUUUCCCUCUCUGUGGCUGAUAUUUGAACGCUAAAGUGACUUUUACAGGAGACAAAAGGCAACAGUGACAGCGAAUACACUGAACACCAGGGUAGGGCAAUAGAAAGCCCACCCUGCAGUUUACCGGGGCUGGGUGAGGAGUGGGCGCUGAGCUGGCCCCGAGCAUGCUGCAGGGUGCCAUAGCCUCCUGCGCUAGUCCUGUGCCUUUGGGACAGCCCUUGGACACCGCUCUGGGCACAGCUGGGCACAGUCCCGGCCCAAACACUGCCCGGGCUCUCGCUGGCUGCCCGGCCCAGCUCCUGGCGAGGGCAGGAAUCGGCACCGCGCUCGCAAGGGCUGGACGGCGUCCGCUCCUCGCCGCCUCCCCCACAAACAGUUGUUUGUCUUAAGUUGGGAUUUUUUUUUUCCCUGGGGCUGCCACAGAUUUUCCACCUCCGGGGCCAACCAACGGCCAGGGACGGAGGCUCAUUAGUGGCCAUGAGGGCGGCCGUCCCCGCCAGUGCCAGGCCUGUCUGCUGAGGGAGGCGGGCGGCAGCUUCGCGUCAAAUGCAAACAACCGUCCUUGUUUUCCUUGGUUGCCAGGGUAGGAGUUGACAUUGUCCCCAGCGGAGCACAAGGACUCCCCGUGACAUGGCGGGGACAAUGGGAAGAAACAAUUCAGAAAGUGACGCAUUACUUCUGCCUGUGGACAGAGGGAACAGCUGAAACGUGGGAGACCAGACUACAGCUGUGUGACUACAGCUUUUUUUUCUUUUUUUUUUCCUUUUUUUUUUUUUUUUUUUUUUUUUUGACAACACAUAUUUUAGUGAAUAAAAGCUACUGAUUCUC
Molecule: long non-coding RNA, 1149 nt
Organism: Parus major (Great Tit)
Lineage: Eukaryota; Metazoa; Chordata; Aves; Passeriformes; Paridae
Exons: 2
Source: RefSeq, a predicted model, not a curated record